RNAcentral lists this ribosomal RNA (402 nucleotides) under uncultured bacterium. RNAcentral describes it as "bacterial SSU rRNA". It matches the Rfam family "Bacterial small subunit ribosomal RNA", at positions 355 to 773 of the family's 1533-position model. The record is from RNAcentral.
UAGGGAAUAUUGCAAAAUGGGCGAAAGCCCGAUGCAGCAACGCCGCGUGGGCGAUGAAGGCCUUCGGGUCGUAAAACCCUUUUUGAGGGGAUGAGGAAGGACAGUACCCUCAGAAUAAGCCUCGGCUAACUACGUGCCAGCAGCCGCGGUAAAACGUAGGAGGCGAGCGUUAUCCGGAUUUACUGGGCGUAAAGCGCGUGCAGGCGGAUUGGAGAGUUGGAUGUGAAAGCUCCCGGCUUAACUGGGAGAGGUCGUUCAAUACUUCCAGUCUUGAGUGCAGUAGAGGGAAGUGGAAUUCCGGGUGUAGUGGUGAAAUGCGUAGAUAUCCGGAGGAACACCAGUGGCGAAAGCGGCUUCCUGGACUGUAACUGACGCUCAGACGCGAAAGCUAGGGUAGCAAAC